RNAcentral lists this ribosomal RNA (719 nucleotides) under Escherichia coli. RNAcentral describes it as "partial 23S ribosomal RNA". It matches the Rfam family "Bacterial large subunit ribosomal RNA", at positions 2212 to 2925 of the family's 2925-position model. Lineage: Bacteria; Pseudomonadati; Pseudomonadota; Gammaproteobacteria; Enterobacterales; Enterobacteriaceae. The record is from RNAcentral.
GUUUGAUGUUCUAACGUUGACCCGUAAUCCGGGUUGCGGACAGUGUCUGGUGGGUAGUUUGACUGGGGCGGUCUCCUCCUAAAGAGUAACGGAGGAGCACGAAGGUUGGCUAAUCCUGGUCGGACAUCAGGAGGUUAGUGCAAUGGCAUAAGCCAGCUUGACUGCGAGCGUGACGGCGCGAGCAGGUGCGAAAGCAGGUCAUAGUGAUCCGGUGGUUCUGAAUGGAAGGGCCAUCGCUCAACGGAUAAAAGGUACUCCGGGGAUAACAGGCUGAUACCGCCCAAGAGUUCAUAUCGACGGCGGUGUUUGGCACCUCGAUGUCGGCUCAUCACAUCCUGGGGCUGAAGUAGGUCCCAAGGGUAUGGCUGUUCGCCAUUUAAAGUGGUACGCGAGCUGGGUUUAGAACGUCGUGAGACAGUUCGGUCCCUAUCUGCCGUGGGCGCUGGAGAACUGAGGGGGGCUGCUCCUAGUACGAGAGGACCGGAGUGGACGCAUCACUGGUGUUCGGGUUGUCAUGCCAAUGGCACUGCCCGGUAGCUAAAUGCGGAAGAGAUAAGUGCUGAAAGCAUCUAAGCACGAAACUUGCCCCGAGAUGAGUUCUCCCUGACUCCUUGAGAGUCCUGAAGGAACGUUGAAGACGACGACGUUGAUAGGCCGGGUGUGUAAGCGCAGCGAUGCGUUGAGCUAACCGGUACUAAUGAACCGUGAGGCUUAACCUU